This 256-nucleotide ribosomal RNA is filed under the name uncultured bacterium. RNAcentral describes it as "partial small subunit ribosomal RNA". It matches the Rfam family "Bacterial small subunit ribosomal RNA", at positions 26 to 285 of the family's 1533-position model. The record is from RNAcentral.
AGAUUGAACGCUGGCGGCGUGCUUAACACAUGCAAGUCGAGCGGUAACGCGGGAGCAAUCCUGGCGACGAGCGGCGAACGGGUGAGUAAUGCUUGGGAAUCUGCCCAUUAGUGGGGAACAACCAGCCGAAAGGUUGGCUAAUACCGCAUACGCCCUACGGGGGAAAGCGGGGGAUCGUAAGACCUCGCGCUAAUGGAUGAGCCCAAGUCGGAUUAGCUUGUGGUAGGGUAACGGCCUACCAAGGCGACAAUCCGUA